Ylistrum balloti is the source of this 731-nucleotide long non-coding RNA. RefSeq lists it as uncharacterized. Lineage: Eukaryota; Metazoa; Mollusca; Bivalvia; Pectinida; Pectinidae. The record is from RefSeq and is a predicted model, not a curated record. The transcript has 3 exons.
CUAAGAUUUUCAGCAAUAACACUCUCAGAGGAUGUGUCAAGUAAUUGUCUGCGUUCUGGAAAUACUCGAUCGGGAUGUGUGAUGUAUCUGAUUUUCCAGGAGGUGACCUGUGGAGAAUGAAAUAUGUUAGAACGUGUUUGGAAGCAUCAACAAUCUAUACAUUAUGUGGGUUUUAAACCCAACCCGGCGAAGCCGUGUUUAAACGUACAUAUACAACGACAAGUCGCUGAAACAUAACAUUGGACAGAAGACAGUAAAGAAUCUCCAGAAGUCAGAUAGGUCCAAGUAACCUGUGAGGCCAUCAUAGUGACCGGCUCAAUCACCUAUAAAGUUAAGAUAAUCUUUUCUCCCUCUACUCUCCUGCUGAUUUAUGUACCGAAGAACCCGAGGUCAAGGACGUUUGCAGACAAGAUCAAUAUUAGCUCUUUCCCGCCAAGGUACUUUCUUUUGCUGACGAUUUCAGCUCCAGACGAAUAAAGAGUCUUUUUCGACCGUUUUGUCAAUUGCUGCCGCAGUACAGUUUUCUAUUGAUCGUGCACCUUGUACCAGGCGAGGACAUUUCUAGUGAACAUAGAUUAUGUAAAAUCUACGUUGUGUUUACUUUUAUACGUAUUGAGGCGACCCCGUCUUGCACAUCCCGUGAAAUGUUUUUUUUUAUUUCAUUUGAUUAACUGGACUUGCUUUGUAUGGAUCAGACGUUUUUGAAUAGCUGAUCGUUAUUAAUCAUUCGA